ACGUGGGUCACUCAUACUCUUUAGCCAAUCAGAUGCGAGCUCACCAUUCAACCAAUCAUAACCCGCCAAGAGUGCAGCACUCAAGGAGCUCAGCAUUGCACACCUUUUGCGCAAUCAACUGAAAUGAAGCUUCACGUCAUCAACCAAGCAUGGGAACGAAGUGCGGGAUAUACGUAUUGUAUUAAAGGACUCUCGUCAUGUAAUACUGUCACAGAGCAGUUGUUCUUGUGUUGCUGGGACAGCACAUUGUUGCACUACUCAGAGCUCAGUGAAGUUCACAGCUGUACUGAAACGGAGGAGAGCUGACACACCUAGAAAAAUGAUGUUAUGUCUGCAAGACCCAAAGAAAGGAAGCUUGCUGAGGUAUUAAGGAGUACCUUUUAAAAGAGUGUCACCUGUAAGCUGCCUGACCUCACAGUCCUCCAAGUAGCAGAGGCGUUUAAGGACCUUGCCAGUGCUUUAGCCCCUUCGGUCACCACUAUCAGGAUGUCACGUGUCAAUUCUUUGGUGGAUUUUGGCUUUGGCAGAGUUUAGUAUGGAAGUGUGCUGUCAUACCAGCAGCAACAACACGCAACCUUAAUCUCUAUCAAGAUGCCCCAAAACUACAACCUCUGCAACUAUUUGGCUACAGCCUUGACACAUCUGUUUGCUUGUUAGUUAUUUAUAUUUACAUGUUUACAUUUCUGAAGUAUAGGUAGUUAUUUACAGUAUAUUACAUACAUACAAACAU
This is a non-coding RNA of Misgurnus anguillicaudatus (oriental weatherfish), 730 nucleotides long. NCBI's taxonomy places the organism in Eukaryota, Metazoa, Chordata, Actinopteri, Cypriniformes, Cobitidae. The record is from RefSeq and is a predicted model, not a curated record.